GAAAGGCUAAUCAAACUGAGAAAUAGCUCGUACUCCCCGAAAUGUUUUUAGGAACAGUGUGGAGGUUGAGUUUAAUAGAGGUAGAGCUACCAAUUGGACUAGGGGGAGUCACAUCCUACCAAAUCCAGAUGAACUCCGAAUGCUAUUAAAUAUACUCUGCAAUGAGGGCACGGGUGCUAAGGUCCGUGUCCGAGAGGGAAAGAACCCAGACCUACAGCUAAGGUCCCAAAAUCUAUACUAAGUUGAACUAAGGCGGUUCAGUUGCUGAGACAGCCAGGAGGUUAGCUUGGAAGCAGCUAUCCCUUUAAAGAGUGCGUAACAGCUCACUGGUCGAGCGACAGAGCAUCGAUAAUAAUCGGGCAUCAAGUAUAGUACCGAAGCUUAGGAUUUUAGUAGAAAUACUAGAGUGGUAGGGGAGCAUUCUAACAGCGGAGAAGUCGUGUGGUAAUGCACGGUGGAGCGGUUAGAAAAGCAAAUGUAGGC
This 483-nucleotide ribosomal RNA is filed under the name uncultured bacterium. RNAcentral describes it as "bacterial LSU rRNA". It matches the Rfam family "Bacterial large subunit ribosomal RNA", at positions 823 to 1301 of the family's 2925-position model. The record is from RNAcentral.